UGCUGCAUGGCUGUCGUCAGCUCGUGUCGUGAGAUGUUGGGUUAAGUCCCGCAACGAGCGCCAACCCCUAUCUUUAGUUGCCAUCAUUGAGUUGGGCACUCUAAAGAGACUGGCCGGUGUCAAACCGGAGGAAGGGUGGGGAUGACGUCAAGUCCUCAUGGUCCUUUAUGACCGAGGGCUACACACGUACUACAAUGGGCCGGUAACGAAAGGGCAGCGACACAGCGAUGUGAAGCGAACUCCCGAAAAGCCGGUCUCAGUCCGGAUUGGAGUCUGCAACUCGACUCCAUGAAGUUGGAAUCGCUAGUAAUCGCGGAUCAGCACGCCGCGGUGAAUACGUUCCCGGGCCUU
Molecule: ribosomal RNA, 351 nt
Filed under: uncultured Desulfocapsa sp.
Lineage: Bacteria; Pseudomonadati; Thermodesulfobacteriota; Desulfobulbia; Desulfobulbales; Desulfocapsaceae
Description: bacterial SSU rRNA
Rfam family: Bacterial small subunit ribosomal RNA
Source: RNAcentral